Molecule: ribosomal RNA, 468 nt
Filed under: uncultured bacterium
Lineage: Bacteria
Description: partial 16S ribosomal RNA
Rfam family: Bacterial small subunit ribosomal RNA
Source: RNAcentral
GACGAACGCUGGCGGCGUGCUUAACACAUGCAAGUCGAACGGAAAGGCCCUGCUUUUGUGGGGUGCUCGAGUGGCGAACGGGUGAGUAACACGUGAGUAACCUGCCCUUGACCUUGGGAUAACUUCAGGAAACUGGGGCUAAUACCGGAUAGGAGCUCCUGCUGCAUGGUGGGGGUUGGAAAGUUUCGGCGGUUGGGGAUGGACUCGCGGCUUAUCAGCUUGUUGGUGGGGUAGUGGCUUACCAAGGCUUUGACGGGUAGCCGGCCUGAGAGGGUGACCGGCCACAUUGGGACUGAGAUACGGCCCAGACUCCUACGGGAGGCAGCAGUGGGGAAUAUUGCACAAUGGGCGGAAGCCUGAUGCAGCAACGCCGCGUGCGGGAUGAUGGCCUUCGGGUUGUAAACCGCUUUCGCCUGUGACGAAGCGUGAGUGACGGUAAUGGGUAAAGAAGCACCGGCUAACUACGUG